UAGUGUCAGAUGGAUGCGACACCGGCACUUUUAAAACCGACUAAAGUGACGAUACGGGAGUUCUGAUCUGUUAUUGGUGUUGAAGGCCUGUAUUUAUAUAGGAAUCCUAAAAAUAACGUACGGACACCCACCUGGACGAAAGAACAGGUUUUAUCGUUUGUUAGGACGCUCUGGUCUGACUUUUU
This 185-nucleotide non-coding RNA is filed under the name Mycoplasma sp. CAG:877. Its description in RNAcentral is "6S / SsrS RNA". It matches the Rfam family "6S / SsrS RNA". Rfam says of the family: E. coli 6S RNA was the first non coding RNA to be sequenced, but its function was unknown until recently. It consists of 184 nucleotides that fold into an extended hairpin structure with a large single-stranded internal bulge. The record is from Rfam by way of RNAcentral. Lineage: Bacteria; Bacillati; Mycoplasmatota; Mollicutes; Mycoplasmatales; Mycoplasmataceae.